This is a small nucleolar RNA of Chanos chanos (milkfish), 76 nucleotides long. RefSeq annotates it as small nucleolar RNA SNORD49. NCBI's taxonomy places the organism in Eukaryota, Metazoa, Chordata, Actinopteri, Gonorynchiformes, Chanidae. The record is from RefSeq and is a predicted model, not a curated record. The transcript has a single exon.
GUCUCUGAUGAAAACCUGGAAUAGGAAGUGCCGUCUUAUGCGAUAACUGACGACUUUAUUAUACCUAUGCCUGAGC